RNAcentral lists this ribosomal RNA (419 nucleotides) under uncultured microorganism. Its description in RNAcentral is "bacterial SSU rRNA". It matches the Rfam family "Archaeal small subunit ribosomal RNA", at positions 326 to 746 of the family's 1478-position model. The record is from RNAcentral.
CGGGUGGCUGCAGGCGCGAAACCUUUACAAUGUACGUAAGUGCGAUAAGGGGACUCCUAGUGCUCAUGCAAUGCAUGGGCUUUUGCUAAGUGUAAAUAGCUUGGCGAAUAAGUGGUGGGUAAGACGGGUGCCAGCCGCCGCGGUAACACCUGCGCCACGAGUGGCAAUCAUAAUUAUUGGGCCUAAAGCGUUCGUAGCCGGAUUGAUAAGUCUUGGGUGAAAUCGUUGCGCUUAACAAAACGACGUGCUUGAGAUACUGUUAAUCUAGGAACCGGGAGGUGUUAGGGGUAUUUCUGAGGGAGCGGUAAAAUGCUAUAAUCUCAGGAGGACCACCUGUGGCGAAGGCGCCUAACGAGAACGGGUUCGACGGUGAGGAACGAAAGCUAGGGGAGCAAUCCGGAUUAGAUACCCCGGUAGUC